AACGAACGCUGGCGGCGCGCCUAAUACAUGCAAGUCGAGCGAGAAGACGUAGCAAUACGUUUGUAAAGCGGCGAACGGGUGAGGAAUACAUGGGUAACCUACCCUCGAGUGGGGAAUAACUAGCCGAAAGGUUAGCUAAUACCGCGUACGCUCCUUGGACUUCGGUUCAGGGAGGAAAGCGAUACCGUGGGUAUCGCGCUCUUGGAUGGGCUCAUGUCCUAUCAGCUUGUUGGUGAGGAACGGCUCACCAAGGCUUCGACGGGUAGCUGGUCUGAGAGGACGAUCAGCCACACUGGCACUGCGACACGGGCCAGACUCCUACGGGAGCAGCAGUAAGGAAUAUUGCGCAAUGGGCGAAAGCCUGACGCAGCGACGCCGCGU
This 381-nucleotide ribosomal RNA is filed under the name uncultured bacterium. RNAcentral describes it as "bacterial SSU rRNA". It matches the Rfam family "Bacterial small subunit ribosomal RNA", at positions 29 to 402 of the family's 1533-position model. The record is from RNAcentral.